ACGUGGCCUGUCUCCGGUCCGAGCUCCUGUGCUGCAAGCUGCGACGUAAGGCUGUACGCACUCGAAGGAACGUGAGCUGAUUGAUGAACGUGUUAAACUUCCGCUCGUUUUUCUUUUCCUUUUUGCGAGGCUGCUAACCUUUCGCUUGUUUCAAUUUCCUGCAAGAACUGAAGAACAAGGUAUUGCCUUGAACCGAAAGAUUCAGAGAUUGGCGCGCCAUCUUUGUCAAGGUCAGAGGACCGAUCGCUAGCUUCGCUGAUCAUGGCCAAUGGCUGGCUCACUGAUCAUCUCUUGAUGUGUUGAGGCAAAACAAAAUGUGGCCUGUUCUUGGCCACAGCUUGAUUGGUAUGCGACAAGCCUGCGAUACACACCCCCUGCCUAGCCAUUCUGCUGGGUGUGGAUCUGCUGGGUGUGUAUACAGGAACCACCGACUUCAACUAUUAGAUGGCAAGUCGGCAGCCGAGGAAAGAUCUGAAGAUUCAGGGAGAGAGAGGCUCCCAUCCUUUCCUUGCAACAGGCAGCUGUACGAUUUUGGAGCCUGGCUGAUACCAAUGGAUAAGAAAGCAGAUACAAUCUUUCAGCACCCCCACCAAAAAGGGAAGGCAAUAGCUUUUGCAAGGUCUGAAUUGACCAAGACUGUUAGGCUAAACCAUCAAAGGCCAGGCCCAAAGUGACCCCACUGUGUUCCUGCAUUCGGUAGAAGCUAGCCAGCCGAGCACUGUUUCCUCCCUCCAGCAUCUGGGAUCCUCCCCAAUGUAGUGUCCAUCUCAACAAACCAGCCAAAUCAAUGAAAGCUAGACUCUAAAGCUGGAGCAUAUGCUGGAGAUAACUCAUUUGGUGCAGCUGCAAGCUAGCUUCCAGAGGGAAAAAAAACACACAUUAGAGUAUCCCAGUUCUUGAUAAACUUGGUGUGAUCCAAUGAGGGUACGCAAGGUGAAUUCAAUCUGUUAUAGAGGGGGCAAAAAAUCUUAGCUCAUAUCCUAGUGGAGUGAAGGAGAAUAAAGCCAUUUGAGGCUAGUGUUAUUGCCAUGGCAAGCAUGAGAUGACACCACUCAAGCUAAAGCGAUCUAUCUACUUUGCUGUCUGUUGCAACCUCACCAUAUAUCUUCCUUCACAGAGAAUUUUUGUUUCCUAUGCACAACAAUAAAGAGAAAAAGGAAGGGAGGAUCAGUUGUGUGGCCAUCCAAAUCCUGUCAGCCAGGGAUAACAAACUUGGCAGGAUAAGAUCCGAUCAUCUGCAACAUGUCCUACGGAUUAACGGUGCACGCUGUGACGGAUCAUCAUCCAGCUCCAGGAACAUGUUCGGCAGAUAGAGAUUACGAGAUGCUAACAACCAUGUGUCGGCAUGCAUGCAGAGCCUCACAGAUCUGGCUACCUGUUUAUGGGAGUUCUUGUGCAGGAGUAAGGUCAGUUAGCAUCCUCCUCUCACCUGUGAACUUGGAGCAGUCACGCAAGUCAUCUCAUGAACAAUUGAACAAGCACUGUGCGUAUGCUAAGCAAGCUGUGGCAGCAGUGACUUGACUGCAGUGGAGGCUGGCUGGCUAUCGAUCGAUCAGUUCUUGUGAGAUAAGGGAGGGGCCCAUCCUUGUUUAUGCACUGUGUUUCUGCCGGCUCCCUCCAUGAUGGUGUCGGCAGCUUCAAGCUGCUAUUACCAGGUAGUAGCAGCAAGAUCUGUAAACAUAAUCAUGAACUUUUUAAUUUCUUAGUAACUAGCACACUUUUUUUACUCUCAUCUUUUAGUCCUCAAAAAAGAUCUCGCUCUUUAGAGAAGGGAAAGCGGCUAGGGAAAUUAUACUAGCCCUAGAGGUGUGACCAGUGUCCCGGCCGGUGAAAGAUGCUUUGUGCGUGUUGCAGAAAGCAAGUGUCAAAAUGAAGGGUGAAAAAUCAUGAACCUUUAGGUGCAUGAAAUAUGUUGGAAUCAUAAGUCUUGAUGUGAAAUACUAGUAGCAAGAAAGAAG
Molecule: long non-coding RNA, 1958 nt
Organism: Phragmites australis (common reed)
Lineage: Eukaryota; Viridiplantae; Streptophyta; Magnoliopsida; Poales; Poaceae
Exons: 4
Source: RefSeq, a predicted model, not a curated record